CAGCAGCCGCGGGAAUACGGAGGGGGCUAGCGUUGUUCGGAAUUACUGGGCGUAAAGCGCACGUAGGCGGCUUGGUAAGUUAGAGGUGAAAGCCCGGGGCUCAACCCCGGAACUGCCCUCGAAACUAGGUAGCUAGAAUCUUGGAGAGGUCAGUGGAAUUCCGAGUGUAGAGGUGAAAUUCGUAGAUAUUCGGAGGAACACCAGUGGCGAAGGCGACUGGCUGGACAAGUAUUGACGCUGAGGUGCGAAAGCGUGGGGAGCAAACAGGAUUAGAUACCCGCGUAGUCCCUGUCUCUUAUAC
RNAcentral lists this ribosomal RNA (301 nucleotides) under uncultured bacterium. RNAcentral's name for it is "partial 16S ribosomal RNA". It matches the Rfam family "Bacterial small subunit ribosomal RNA", at positions 509 to 807 of the family's 1533-position model. The record is from RNAcentral.